UGGGGAAUUUUGGACAAUGGGCGAAAGCCUGAUCCAGCAAUGCCGCGUGUGUGAAGAAGGCCUUCGGGUUGUAAAGCACUUUUGUCCGGAAAGAAAUCCUUGGCUCUAAUACAGUCGGGGGAUGACGGUACCGGAAGAAUAAGCACCGGCUAACUACGUGCCAGCAGCCGCGGUAAUACGUAGGGUGCAAGCGUUAAUCGGAAUUACUGGGCGUAAAGCGUGCGCAGGCGGUUUGCUAAGACCGAUGUGAAAUCCCGGGCUCAACCUGGGAACUGCAUUGGUGACUGGCAGGCUAGAGUAUGGCAGAGGGGGGUAGAAUUCCACGUGUAGCAGUGAAAUGCGUAGAGAUGUGGAGGAAUACCGAUGGCGAAGGCAGCCCCCUGGGCCAAUACUGACGCUCAUGCAUGAAAGCGUGGGGAGCAAACAGGAUUAGAUACCCUGGUAGUCCACGCCCUAAACGAUGUCAACUAGUUGUUGGGGAUUCAUUUCCUUAGUAACGUAGCUAACGCGUGAAGUUGACCGCCUGGGGGAGUACGGUCGCAAGAUUAAAACUCAAUGAAUUGACGGGGUCAUAGCUGUUUCCU
RNAcentral lists this ribosomal RNA (584 nucleotides) under uncultured bacterium. RNAcentral's name for it is "partial 16S ribosomal RNA". It matches the Rfam family "Bacterial small subunit ribosomal RNA", at positions 355 to 1375 of the family's 1533-position model. The record is from RNAcentral.